Molecule: long non-coding RNA, 497 nt
Filed under: Ananas comosus (pineapple)
Lineage: Eukaryota; Viridiplantae; Streptophyta; Magnoliopsida; Poales; Bromeliaceae
Description: long non-coding RNA (ACOM_LNC023824)
Source: RNAcentral
AAAGUUGGGCUGAUUGUUGGGGGCUCAAUAAGUUUCUAGUAGUAGUCAGGACGGAUUUUCAAAAACCCGAAUCCGAACCCGACUACCAAAUCCGAAAUCCAAAUUCAAAUCCGAAUUCAAAUCCAAAUCUGACCGAUUUUAUAAAUCAAUCCAUAUCCAAACCCAACCCAACUAGAAAUUCGAAACCCAAACUUGAAACAAUUAAUUACUCUUUACAAUAUUUCAAAAUAUAUUACAUUAAAUCAAUUUUUCAAAAAUACAAAUUCAAAUAUAACAUCAAAUAUUAUAGAUAAUAUAAAUUCAAUUCGAGCUCGUGUUGGGUACAAUCAAAAUCCAUUCCCGAAUCCAAAUCCAUAAGGUUGUUAUUUUUUAUAUACGUAUUCAAAACUAUAUACAUUUAUCAUCAGAUAAAUCCAUUUCGUUCGGAUUCAGAUUUACGUUUGGAUAAAAUUUCGAAUAUCCGUAAUCAUUGAUAUUUUUAGGCAUGAUCAUGAUUU